RNAcentral lists this ribosomal RNA (253 nucleotides) under uncultured bacterium. RNAcentral describes it as "partial 16S ribosomal RNA". It matches the Rfam family "Bacterial small subunit ribosomal RNA", at positions 524 to 776 of the family's 1533-position model. The record is from RNAcentral.
UACAGAGGUCUCAAGCGUUGUUCGGAUUCAUUGGGCGUAAAGGGUGCGUAGGCGGCGCGUUAAGUCGGGCGUGAAAUCUCGGGGCUUAACUCCGAAACUGCAUUCGAUACUGCCGUGCUUGAGGACUGGAGAGGAGACUGGAAUUUACGGUGUAGCGGUGAAAUGCGUAGAUAUCGUAAGGAAGACCAGUGGCGAAGGCGGGUCUCUGGACAGUUCCUGACGCUGAGGCACGAAGGUCAGGGGAGCAAACGGG